AACUUUGUGCAGUGGCAGUAUCAUAGCCAAUGAGGUUAAUCUGAGGCACAAUUAUUGCUAAUUGAAAACUGUUCCCUACACAU
Molecule: small nuclear RNA, 83 nt
Filed under: Chinchilla lanigera (long-tailed chinchilla)
Lineage: Eukaryota; Metazoa; Chordata; Mammalia; Rodentia; Chinchillidae
Description: U4 spliceosomal RNA (ENSCLAG00000020760.1)
Rfam family: U4 spliceosomal RNA
About the family: U4 small nuclear RNA (U4 snRNA) is a component of the major U2-dependent spliceosome. The structure of U4 snRNA from yeast and human has been reported.
Source: RNAcentral